UUGACUAACCAAGUCAAGCCUUUACAUUGCAAAUUCAGUGUUGAAGAAAUUUCUUGGUUCUUUUAGGUUUCUUUCUGUGAUCCAAUUCAUCGCCUUCAUAUUUCUGCAGGAAGGAACAUGAAAAGAAAAAGAAAAAAGCCCUCACAGCCUCAUAGGGGUUUCUAUCCUGCUGACAUCCCAAAGAAACCAGACGGCAGAGUUACAGAUAACAUCACCUUUUCGAAACCUAAAGGUAGCUUCUGAGAUAUCUUCCGGUCUACAUUCCAGGGGAUUGGCUGACCCACCCAGAGGGGCAGCCCGUCCCAAGAAACUGACUCAGCUGGAAUCGUGACCCCAACCCAGGAACUGACUCGACACAAGAAGAUGAUUUCUACACCCCCAUAAUUUGGCCCUGAACCUAACCAAUUGGCAAACCCAAUUGCCUAAUCCUUUGCCUGCCAAACUAUCUUUAAAAACCCUAUCUCCCAAAUUCUCGGGGAGGUGGACUUGAGGAAUUCCUCCCAUCUCCUCGCUUAGUGCUUUGCAGAAUUAAACCGUUUCUCUGUUGCAACCCUA
Long non-coding RNA from Lemur catta (Ring-tailed lemur), 555 nucleotides. RefSeq lists it as uncharacterized. The transcript is spliced from 2 exons. NCBI's taxonomy places the organism in Eukaryota, Metazoa, Chordata, Mammalia, Primates, Lemuridae. The record is from RefSeq and is a predicted model, not a curated record.